AUGAGGUUUUCCAUUAAUUCCCCUGAGCCAGCAGUUGUUUAUCCCAAAGAGAAUAUAGUAUAUGUGGACUCAAGAGUGAUAGUAACAUGUGAAUGGUGGAAGGGAAUCAAUGAGGAAACAGAACUAAAGCUAUAUAAUAUAAAAGAAGUGUUGCGGGGGUUGCCCAGGGAGCUGGCCGAGGCAGUGUACAGGGGCAGGGUGUUGGUGGUUGGUGUGGGCGGGAUUGGCUGUGAGCUCCUCAAGAACCUGGUGCUCACUGGCUUCUCCCACAUUGACCUGAUUGAUCAGGACACUAUCGAUGUCAGUAACCUCAACAGGCAGUUCUUGUUUCAAAAGAAACAUGUUGGAAGAUCAAAGGCUCAGGUUUUCAAAGAAAAUGUGCUCCACUUCCACCACAAGCAAUCAUUGAGGCCCACCAUAACAACAUCAUGAACCCAGACUACAAUGUGGAGGGUUUUUUUUUUUUGACAAUUUAUUUGGGUUAUGAAUGCAUUAGAUAACAGAACUGUAUGAAACCAUGUGAAUAGAAUGUGUCUGGCAGUUGAUGUGCUUCUCAUUGACAUUGGAACUGCUGGCUAUCUCAGACAGGUGACCACUAUCAAGAAGGGUGUGACUGAGUGUUACAAAUGCCGUCCUAAGCCUACCCAGAGAACAUUCCCUGGCUGUAUGAUUUGGAACACACCUUCAGAACCUAUCUAGUGCAUCAUAUGGGCCAAGUAUUUGUUCAACCAGCUGUUUGGAGAGGACGAUGCUGAUCAAGAAGUGUUUCCUGGCAGAGCUGACCCUGAAGCUGCCUGGGAACCAACAGAGGCUGAAUCCAGAGCCCAAGCAUCUAAUGGAGAUGGAGACAUUCAGCGUAUUUCCACUAAAAAAUGGGCUAAAUUAACUGGAUAUGAUCCAGUUAAACUUUUUACCAAGCUUUUUAAAGAUGAUAUUAGGUAUCUGCUGACAAUGGACAAACUCUGGCAGAAGAGGAAACCUCCAGUUCCACUGAACUGUGCUGAAGUGCAGAGUCAAGGAGAAGAAGCCAAUGCCCAUCAACAUAAUGAGCCCCAGUUGAGUUUGAAAGACCAGCAGGUUCUGGAUGUAAAGAGCUAUGCAAUCUAUUUUCAAAGAGCAUCAAGAUAUUUAGCCAAGAAGGGAGAUGGAGCUGAGCUCAUCUGGAAUAAGGAUGACCCACCUGCAAUGGAUUUUGUCACUUCUGCUGCAAACCUCAGGAUACACAUUUUCAGCAUGAAUAUGAAGAGCAGGUUUGAUAUGAAAUCAAUGGCAGAGAAUAUCAUUCCUGCUAUAGCUACUAUGGAUGCAGUGAUCUCUGGCUUGAUAGUAUUGGAUAGAUUAAAGAUUUUUAUCUGAAUAAAAAAAUAGACCAGUGUAUAACUAUUAUUUUGAAUAAGCAGCCAAACCCCCAAAACAUGCUCUUGGUGCCCUGUGCACUGGAUCCUCCAAACACCAACUAUUAUGUUUGUGCCAGCAAGCCAGAGGUGUGGCUGAAUGUUCACAAAGUGACUGUCCUAAAUUUAUAGGAUAAGAUAGUGAAAGAAAAGUAUGCUAUGGUGGCACCAGAUGUCCAAACAGAAGAUGGGAAAGGCACAAUCCUGUUAUCUUCAGAAGAGGGACAGAAGCUAAUAACCCAAGGAGUUGUCUGAUUUUGGAAUUAGAAAUGGCAGCUAACUUCAGGCAGACGACUUCCUCCAGGACUACACUUUGCUGAUAAACAUUCUUCGUAGUGAGGAUCUUGGAAAGGAUAUUGAAUUUGAGGAAGAUGGUGACACCCCUGAAAAGGUGUGGCCAAAACAAGUUGAAAAUGCUGCCAACAGCAUUGCCAAUGGCAGUGAUGACGGUGCCGAGCCUUCCACCUCCACAGCACAAGAGGAAGAUAACGUGCUCAUAGUCAAUUUAGACGAAGAAGGCCCUUCAAAUAGAGAUGACGACCACAGUGGGCACAACAGGGCCCGAAAGAGGAAACUGGAAGAGAAUGAGGGUACCUGUACCAAGAAUUCCCGCUUGGAGUAGACAGAAGAUCUGUAUGAUGUCAUAGCAUUAGACUGA
This is a non-coding RNA of Arvicanthis niloticus (Nile rat), 2052 nucleotides long. Lineage: Eukaryota; Metazoa; Chordata; Mammalia; Rodentia; Muridae. The record is from RefSeq and is a predicted model, not a curated record.